CUCCUGUUGAAAAGAUGUCAGUUACUUCUAUGGUAGCAAUUUUGAUUUCAGCAGUAACAUAUAUUAUGAUUUAAACAUAGCACUGGAUUUUGGAUAAAAAAAUGUCCAGGUCAUUAUGUGGGAUUUAAUGCAUCAAGGCCAGCUUUGCUUAAGAUGUGUUCUGCAUAGAGCGCCAUGAAAGACGAGGAGAAGUACUCUACCGUACGCUAUUUUGGUUUCUAGUGCUUACUUUCCAUAGAGGAGAACUGACGCUUCGCAUGCAAAUUCCCGAUCAGAUGCAAGCUCAAACGCACAAAACGACCGAGAGAGCCGCUCCAUUGGAUUACAUUUUCUUUCUAAUGAAAAACCUGAAACCCAAACGACUCACGGCUUUCUCGUGUUGUAUGCAGAAUGUAGGUGGAUGUAAGCGAGGGAACAAGGCUGAUAAUCUUAGGUAUUUAGAUUAAGAUCUGUUGCGAGACAGAAACAUGGAAAGCAACACGGGAGAUGCUUCAACACGUCACCACCACCUAGCGGCAGAUUGGAUAUUGCAAAAAAAGAAUACACCAUUAUCGGAGGAUAUCAACAGAGCCCUUUGAUGUUGCCGUGGGAUGCCAUCAGCGGCCGGGAACGAGGGAUGGGGGAGAAAGGAGCGAGGGAUGAAAGAGGGCAAAGAUGCUUCACUGACCCAACCCACACUGCCGUGUCAACGCAAACAUCAGGCAGGGCUGCUGACCAAACGUAGGUGUGAUGACUGGCGCAUUUAUCCCGGAUUAUCUGCCUCUACCUCCAGGACCGACAUAAUCAGCUCCUAAUUGGAUCAUGUCGCAACGCAGCGAACAGAAAUAGCAGCAGUUGGCAGGCCUGCCUUGAUUCCAACAAGUGGGGAAGAAGAACGGCCAAAGCCCAUAAAUUGGUAACGCAGUCUGUGGCCAAUGUUUUAAUGAGGGUUUACCUAAUACCGAACUUGAGCACGAUUUUCAGUGGGCCAGUGAAUUUGAGAGCUAUAGUGAUGUCAUUCUUGGAUCCUGUACUGGAAGGAGGCCAUAGGUAGGUACAGCAUGCUUUCCAUUUUUUUUGCAGUGUCAAGUUAUUAAUGCAAAAAAACUAAUAAAAACACCCUUAAGACCGCCUCAACACCGCUUUGUAGGAUAAACUGAAACACUAAAAGCAAUUCACAACUUCAAAAUGAUAUACAUUUAGCUCAUACACACAUACACAGAGAGAUAGAGAGAGAGAACUAGAAACUAUCUGACAAGAAUACUUUUUUAUUGACUCUGAAAACACUUGCACUACUUCCACGUACCACAUUUCCAUGGCAACCGCUGCAUA
Clupea harengus (Atlantic herring) is the source of this 1311-nucleotide long non-coding RNA. The record is from Ensembl. NCBI's taxonomy places the organism in Eukaryota, Metazoa, Chordata, Actinopteri, Clupeiformes, Clupeidae.